This 534-nucleotide ribosomal RNA is filed under the name Lythrypnus dalli (bluebanded goby). RNAcentral describes it as "partial 12S ribosomal RNA". It matches the Rfam family "Bacterial small subunit ribosomal RNA", at positions 868 to 1529 of the family's 1533-position model. The record is from RNAcentral. Lineage: Eukaryota; Metazoa; Chordata; Actinopteri; Gobiiformes; Gobiidae.
CUCGCCAGGGGACUACGAGCCAGGGCUUACUUCAAAAGUAAGAUUUAAUGCUUAAAACCCAAAGGACUUGGCGGUGCUUUACACCCCCCUAGAGGAGCCUGUUAUAGAAUCGAUACCCCCCGCUAAACCUUACCCUUUCUUGCAAAUUCAGCCUGUAUACCGCCGUCGUCAGUUUACCCUGUGAAGGACCAAUAGUAGACAAAAUUGUACUUAGCCAAAAUGACAGGUCAAGGUGCAGCGAAUGAAAGGGAAUUUAAAUGGGCUACAUUUACUGGACCAGUAAAUUACGGAUGUUUGUUAUGAAAACACAACUGAAGGUGGAUUUAGUAGUAAGAAAAUGAGAAGAGUGCUUUUCUGAAUAUUUAAGGCUAUGAAGCGCGCACACACCGCCCGUCACCCUCCCCAACCGUUUAUUAUCCCCGUGCUAUUUAAUGCACGUGAUAGAACUAUCAAAUUUAUAAUUAGAUACUUGGCCCACUGGGGAGGCAAGUCGUAACAUGGUAAGUGUACUGGAAAGUGUACUUGUGUAAACCC